CUACUACUCCCUCCGUCCGAAAAUACUUGUCAUUGAAAUGGAUGUAUCUAGAUAUAUUUUAGUUCUAGACACAUCCAUUUUGAUGACAAGUAAUUCCGGACGGAGGGAGUAUUAU
This is a non-coding RNA of Triticum aestivum (bread wheat), 115 nucleotides long. Lineage: Eukaryota; Viridiplantae; Streptophyta; Magnoliopsida; Poales; Poaceae. The record is from Rfam.